AAUUAUUUAGGGGUAACAUUAAUAAAAAUAUAUUUUCUGUCUACACAACUCCAAACUGUACUAAAAAAAUUUAGAUAUUAUAAAAGGUACUGGAGGGAAUAUAUUUGAGCCGCUUCUCUAAUAGUUUCUUGAACAAGAUGAUAUUUUAUAAAGAUCUCAGUCAGCAAGUCCUUGCCACUGGUGGACUAGACAUAAUGCUAACUACCUCUAAUUAGAUUUCCAAAACCCCAUCAAUUAACGGCAUCAAAUAUAAACUUUCGCAGGGAUUGCAAAGAUGCCUUUGUCAAUCAUAUUCAUAAAACACACCGAACUCUGCCUCAUACUCAGUUGUGCUGACUAAAUUUCGUCACUGGAAAUCUUUUCUUACAUAUUCCACUAAAUUAGCAGCUGCAUCUUUCCUUUGUGAAAAGCCCUGCUCCUAUCCAGCAAACCUUCUUCAACAUGCUUGUAGGUUCCUCUCUAAUCAUUACAAGGAGAUGUUUCUGCACAAGUUCUGGACCAUUCUCACUAGAAAUCCUUUCUUACAUAUUCCACUAAAUUAGUGCGUGCGGCCAAAACAUCUAAGGGUAUUAUAAACCUACCCUUAGAUGUUAUGGA
Molecule: long non-coding RNA, 597 nt
Organism: Neltuma alba
Lineage: Eukaryota; Viridiplantae; Streptophyta; Magnoliopsida; Fabales; Fabaceae
Exons: 3
Source: RefSeq, a predicted model, not a curated record